GCCCUUGCGGAUCCGCGGCCGCUGCAGAGUUUGAUCUGGCUCAGGACGAACGCUGGCGGCGCGCUUAACACAUGCAAGUCAACGAGAAAGGGGUAGCAAUACUCCGAGUAAAGUGGCGCACGGGUGAGUAACGCAUAGGAAUCUGCCUACAGGCGGGGGAUAACUGUUCGAAAGAGCAGCUAAUACCGCAUAAGGCGUAGCGAUACGUCAAAGGCCCAAGUGGGCUGCCUGUAGAUGAGCCUAUGUCCGAUUAGCUAGUUGGCGGGGUAAGAGCCCACCAAGGCGAUGAUCGGUAGCUGGUCUGAGAGGAUGAUCAGCCACACUGGAACUGAGACACGGUCCAGACUCCUACGGGAGGCAGCAGUGAGGAAUAUUGGGCAAUGCCCGCAAGGUGACCCAGCGACGCCGCGUGGAGGAAGAAGGUCGUAAGAUUGUAAACUCCUGUCGGCGGGGACGAAAGUUAUGCGUAGUGGAAAGACGCAUAAUUGACUGUACCCGCAGAGGAACCCCUGGCUAACUACGUGCCAGCAGCCGCGGUAAUACGUGGGGGGGCAGCGUUGUCCGGAUUCACUGGGUGUAAAGGGCGCGUAGGCGGCUAUAUAAGUCAGCGGUGAAAUCAUACGCCUUAACCGUAGC
RNAcentral lists this ribosomal RNA (636 nucleotides) under uncultured bacterium. Its description in RNAcentral is "bacterial SSU rRNA". It matches the Rfam family "Bacterial small subunit ribosomal RNA", at positions 1 to 619 of the family's 1533-position model. The record is from RNAcentral.